RNAcentral lists this long non-coding RNA (661 nucleotides) under Homo sapiens (human). Its description in RNAcentral is "HSALNT0354231". Lineage: Eukaryota; Metazoa; Chordata; Mammalia; Primates; Hominidae. The record is from RNAcentral.
GCACCUUUAGUCCCAGCUACUCAGGCUGAGGCAGAAGAACUGCUUGAACCUGGGAGGCAGAAAUUGCAGUGAGCCGAGAGCCACUCCACUCCAACCUGGGCAACAGAGCAAGACUCCGUCUCCAGAAAAAAAAGAGAGAGAAGGGGGUUAGGAUUGGAAUGGGACACACAAAAAGGACUUCUAAGGUAAGGAGCUGGUUGAAUUCAAGCAUGCAAAACCCAUGGGUAUAGAAGGCCAACUGUAAUAAUUUUGUCUGCUCCAUGAAGAAUAACGAAUAGACUCAAAGGGAUAAUCAAAGAAGCAGCAAGACCACUUAGGAAGCUCCUGCAAUCAUCCAGGAGAUUAUUUUAAACUUGAUGGAUCAAUCCUCUUAAGGAUAACGAAUUUGGAUUUGCAAGAAUUCAAGGCAAUUCCGGGCCCAGCUUUUUGGAGGUAAAUCCACUGAGCCGGUGUGUACCUCACAAUAAAUAUCCUCCUGUAUUCACGCAUACUGGUCUCUCUAAUCCUCUGCGUCCCGCAACAAGCUGAGAGCGCGCCACUGCACUUGCAGUCUUGCACAUAGCAAGACUAUGUCUCAACAACAACAAAAAAGGUCACCAUACUGGCAGCUUACCAGAUUGAAGAUGCCAGUAAUAUGUUAGUGUGGUUUGCAAGAAACUUC